GCAGUGGAAAGAGAAGCGAAUGGAUAGAUAGAAAGGGGUGUGGAGAGGAGACAUAAGAGAAUGAUAGAUAGAAAGGGGGUGUGGAGAGGAGACAUAAGAUAAUGAUAGAUAGAGGGGGGGGUGUGGAGAGGAGACAUAAGAGAAUGAUAGAUAGAGAGGGGGGUGUGGAGAGGAGACAGAAGAGAAUGAUAGAUAGAGAGGGGGUGUGGAGAGGAGACAUAAGAGAAUGAUAGAUAGAGAGGGGGUGUGGAGAGGAGACAUAAGAGAAUGAUAGAUAGAGAGGGGGUGUGGAGAGGAGACAGAAGAGAAUGAUAGAUAGAGAGGGGGUGUGGAGAGGAGACAU
This is a long non-coding RNA of Oncorhynchus tshawytscha (Chinook salmon), 343 nucleotides long. The record is from Ensembl. NCBI's taxonomy places the organism in Eukaryota, Metazoa, Chordata, Actinopteri, Salmoniformes, Salmonidae.